RNAcentral lists this ribosomal RNA (301 nucleotides) under uncultured bacterium. RNAcentral's name for it is "partial 16S ribosomal RNA". It matches the Rfam family "Bacterial small subunit ribosomal RNA", at positions 509 to 807 of the family's 1533-position model. The record is from RNAcentral.
CAGCAGCCGCGGUAAUACGUAGGGUGCAAGCGUUAAUCGGAAUUACUGGGCGUGAAGCGUGCGCAGGCGGUUUGUUAAGACAGAUGUGAAAUCCCCGGGCUCAACCUGGGAACUGCAUUUGUGACUGGCAAGCUAGAGUGUGGCAGAGGGGGGUAGAAUUCCAGGUGUAGCGGUGAAAUGCGUAGAGAUCGGGAGGAACAUCAGUGGCGAAGGCGGCCAUCUGGGACAACACUGACGCUGAGGCACGAAAGCGUGGGGAGCAAACAGGAUUAGAUACCCCAGUAGUCCCUGUCUCUUAUAC